Papaver somniferum (opium poppy) is the source of this 4134-nucleotide long non-coding RNA. RefSeq lists it as uncharacterized. The record is from RefSeq and is a predicted model, not a curated record. Lineage: Eukaryota; Viridiplantae; Streptophyta; Magnoliopsida; Ranunculales; Papaveraceae. The transcript has 5 exons.
UCGAACAACAUUUUUUUAUGGUUCAAUAUUUUUUUUUCUCUUUUAUCUUCUUAGUCAUUCACUAGUGUGAGAUCAAAAUGUUACAGAUAAGUGUAAAACAAAGAGGGGAAAUUGAUGUGAGGUUCGUGGUUAUCGUCUUGUUUUUUAUAUCCCCCGGAAUUGUAAAUUUCUUCUUCCGAUUCCAGCAUCAACAACAAUAGAUUUGGGGAUUUUUAAAAAGGAUUCAAAUAUGGUUUAUAUAAGUUUCUCCAUUGUUAUAGAUUGCAGCACUAAAGUAUCUGGAUUUGCUUAAGGGUGAUCUAUUUAGUUCUGGGUCGAUUGAAACAAGAGCUAUCACUAAUUUCAUUGAUUUUGAUGGUUGGGUCAUAUUCAAUUUGAAUUCGCAGCAGCACAAGAUGGAAGUUGGGUGGUUCUUGGUGUGGAUUCGUUCUUAAAUUGGAUGGAGAUGGCAAAGAGUGGAGUUUCAACUUGCAGAAUGAUGCCUAAUCAGUUUUGGUUUUUAUAGAAAUUUGGGGAUUUUAUUGUAUCGGCGCCGGAGAAGAAAGAGAGCACGUGGUGCAAUCUUGGACACCCUCCAGAAGGUGGACGAUCUUAUCCGUGCAUUAUAUGAACGGGUACACAACCGUAUGAUUUAGCUAGCUUAACUAGGUAGUGUCGCGGGCAUCUAACUCGGUUUAACCAGGUCCUAGUUGCAUGAUUCAUGGGCUUUCAAUACGGUUUAACCAGGUCCCAGUUGCACGAUUCAGGGCUUGAACGUCUUUUCCCAAGCCUGAAUUAUUGCCACGUACAGAGUAACGUCUGUUAACUGUUUUUUCAAAAAAAACGGGAUGGGCAUGAAAUAAAUAAUGAAACAAACGUGGGCAUUUUCUUUUAUGCAUUUCCCCACAUAGUCAUUUUAUUAAAAACUCCUAAAAAUAUUAUACCAAUGGAGAUGGACGGACGGCUGGUAUUUGUGUAUCCAGAUGGACGGUUGCUAUUUAUUAGAAUAAUCUUGAACAUAACAAGGAAAGAAUCCCUUUUAUUCUUUCCUUAAAAUUAAGGGCGAUUUUAUUUAUCGGUUAGGGCAUCGCAAAAGUCCGAGAAAACUGAUUUCAGAGCUUUGGUGAUUGUCUCAUACUACUAACAGGGAAUUCAACCAAAAUGGGUGAUUCAUCAAUGAAGAACGGAUUUGAUUUGGUUCAGUUAACAUCUUCACUGAAGAAAGUUGGUGAUUUUGCUCGUGGGAAAUUGUCAUCUGAAGUUGAAACCCUCAAAAAGGAGGAGAAAAAAGAUCCUUAUGAAGAUUUAAUUGCAUCUCAAAAAGAAACUCUUAAAACUCUUCAGCAAGGGGAAACUGCUAUUCAGAUCAUCUUAGGUGUGACUGCUGCUUCAAUGGCUUCGGUGGUUGUUUUAAAGGCUCUUGGAUUCUGAGCGUAAAUGAAGAUAGAAUUGUGAUUAUCAAGGUUAAGGUGAUAUAAUUAAAUUUAUCAGUUUAGGUAUUUAUAAAAAUUAUUAGAUAUGUAACCAGCUGUAGUAGUAGUUGUCUAUUAGUUUUAGGAGGGAUUAGACCAACAAAAAAGGUUACAACUUAUGUUUUUAUGUAAUGCUGGUAUAUCAAGUUAAUGGAAUUGGAUUUUUAUGAAAUUGGAUUGAUCUUAGGAGUCAUGACUACAAAUUUCCCACUUCUACUAAGAUUUUUCUGCUUGAUUGUGUUGUAUGAUUGGAUUUUAUUCAAAGGGAAAACCACAGAUAUUGGAUUCUUAUAACCCUGUAAUCGAUGAAUUUAAACUCCCUUUGGUAGUACUCAUGUUAUAAAGCACCUCAUUUCGAGCAUCAAACUUAUAAUGGAUGGUCAGAAACUUUUUGACACAAAUCUAUAAGUCUUAGCAUGUAUCAAUCUUUUGGAAUCUAUCACAAAACCUGAUCAUAGUAGGCUUUGGCCAAAUGAUGAAAGCAUACGGGGUCGUUUUAUUUCGUUUUUGUAAAUGAAGUUAGGCUUCAAAGAAGUAACUUUGGUCUUUAGAACCCAACAAGGGAUAUCAUAGUUCAAAAACAGGUUCUUUGCAUUUUGUGGAUCACUUCAACAGCUAUCUUUUUCAUUGAAAUUCUUUGAUGAAUGGCUUUCUUCUUAUGACUCUAAUUUUUUUUUUUUUUUUUUGUGAAGUUGCUUUUUUCUGUGCUGCCCCAAUUUUAUAUUCGAAAUGGCCCCUCUAAUCUUAUCAUUCUAGAUGUUUGUGUGUUUUGUGUUUCCUGAUAUAUUAGCUCAUUGUAAAACCUAAUUAUAGUAGCAGGUAAUGACAAGAAUCGAAAAUUGUUUAAAGUUGCCUGAUGAACAAUUAUAGCAUCUUUGCAAUCUAAAGCUGAAGCAAUGGAGAUGCCUUUGGUGGCCUACUCGAAAUCUUUGUUAUGCAGUAUUGCUAGUGUUGGAUGCAAGAUUUUGUCUGCAUCUUCUGUUCCACAAGUGCAACUUCCAUAUCAUGUUGUUGUUCUCGUAAUGCUUGCUACCCUGCAGUUGCUUCAACAGGUUUCAUAGGUUUAUCAGAAGAUGAAGAUCGAGGUCUUGUCCAAGGAACCUUCAAUCUGACAGGCUUCAGGGCCAUCUGACCCUUCUUGAUGAGUCUUCGAAUAAAACAAGAGGGUAGAUUUAUCCUCUAGUUUAGAAGGCGUCAAAACUUGGUGAGGCUCUGCCUGCUUUAGCAGAGGUGGUGGUCAAAAAGGAGCACUAAAAGCUUCUUGCCAGAAAGUCAACAACUGAAAAAGUGAAGAACAACAGAAAGUCAUUUGUUGGAAAUGGUGCGGUUCUCUUUUGUUUUUGCAACAUUACAUACUCUAGUGGAUGCAACCAGAUUACAGCUCAAAUUUAUACAAAUUGUGUUCUUUGAAGGAACUUGACGAAGAGUACGAAGGACAAAAGAUACAGAAAGUUACCGCUUAGGCAGAAAAGAUCAGGCUUGCCAGAGAAUCUUAUGAAAGGGAGCAACAAAGAAUUAAUAGAGAGCUAGAAGAGAAGGAUAGAUGUAUGACACAAGGUCUUUACUUGUAAACAUAGAGAAAAACAGUAACUGAAAGAGAAGAUCGGACUGAGAAGAAGCUUCAGAAACUUGCUAAAACCGUGGAUUAACUGAAACGUGCAAGAAGAGAAGAGGAAGCUCCUAUUGCUGUUAAUUUCAUCAUAAUGCGCAUCAUUACAACCAUCUCUAUAUAUAUUCUAUAUGAAAGCGGUCCAAAGUAUAUCAGUUGCGCUUGCCUGCGGCGUAUUUGGUUUUUUCGACCCAUUGCCUCAUUUGCUCAUCUAAAACUACCCGGAUCCUGAAUUUGUUUCUUUGAGUGGGUCAUGAUGUUUCAUGUUCUUCUGCAGCUAGAGCUUGAGCUGAGAGGGAACAACAUGUUGGAGACCUUCAGUAGAAGAAUAUUUUUCGAAGGAUGUCGGAGAAUAAGGAAGAACAUUCUCCAGGUUAGAAAGAGGGAUGAUCGUAUUGCCCAAAAGCUUCAGGAGCACAGGAAACAAGAAAGAGGCGGAGAUUUUAUUUGAGGUCCGAGGAGGAGAGAGAAGAUUGGAGUUCGGGAGAAGGAAGACGCUGAAAGGGAAAGAAGAAUUAGUGAGAAAAACCAAGUUGCACGAGCUCGCUGAGGAGGAUGCCGAGUUUAAUAGAGCACCACCUGUUCCUGCUGCUUCUGUACCAGGUGCUUGUACUUCCACAGGUGCACCUUGGACUACUGGUCCAGCACGGGAUAAAUAUGUAUGUAGGUUCAAGAGGGCACAAUAUUGUGCUACCGUGGCAACACUUUCAGAAUCUGAUCUGAUUGAUGGGGUUCGAGACAAGAAUAUCUGCAUCAACCUGCGAAUCCGUGAUAGAUAAGUUGCACUCUGAUAUAUGUCACCAGGUUCUGGGGACUAGCCUUAAAUGAGUACCCCUUAUCUAGACACAUUUGAAUUGAAUCUCGCUUGACCCUCGUUUACAUUUCAUUUUGAGAGAAAAGAAAAAAGGCAUAGAGAACUUUGUUUCAGUUUUCUUUUUCCUUUUUUUUUUUCUCUCGGAAACAGAAAGGAAAUUAUAUUAGUAGAAAUUAGUUCCAGAGUUUCUUUCCUCCAGCAGUUGUAUUAUUAUACAUUAGGGAGAUUUUGAUCCCAAACUCUACUUUUUUUUCCAACUC